Molecule: ribosomal RNA, 327 nt
Filed under: uncultured eukaryote
Lineage: Eukaryota
Description: partial 18S ribosomal RNA
Rfam family: Eukaryotic small subunit ribosomal RNA
Source: RNAcentral
CCCCUAGAUGUUCUGGGCCGCACGCGCGCUACACUGAACAGUUCAACAAGUCUUAACCUUGGCCGAUAGGCCUGGGCAAUCUUGUUAACGUGCAUCGUGAUAGGGAUAGAUUAUUGAAAUUAUUAAUCUUGAACGAGGAAUUCCUAGUAAACGCAGAUCAUCAAUCUGCAUUGAUUACGUCCCUGCCCUUUGUACACACCGCCCGUCGCACCUACCGAUUGGAUGGUCCGGUGAAGCCUCGGGAUUGUGGUUCUUGCCGCUUUAUUGUGGCGUGACCGCGAGAACUUGUCUAAACCUUAUCAUCUAGAGGAAGGUGAAGUCGUAACA